CCGACGGGUGAGUAACACGUAUCCAACCUGCCGUCUACUCUUGGACAGCCUUCUGAAAGGAAGAUUAAUACAAGAUGGCAUCAUGAGUUCACAUGUUCACAUGAUUAAGGUAUUCCGGUAGACGAUGGGGAUGCGUUCCAUUAGAUAGUAGGCGGGGUAACGGCCCACCUAGUCUUCGAUGGAUAGGGGUUCUGAGAGGAAGGUCCCCCACAUUGGAACUGAGACACGGUCCAA
Molecule: ribosomal RNA, 234 nt
Filed under: uncultured bacterium
Lineage: Bacteria
Description: partial 16S ribosomal RNA
Rfam family: Bacterial small subunit ribosomal RNA
Source: RNAcentral